This 207-nucleotide unclassified non-coding RNA is filed under the name Glomus sp. RNAcentral describes it as "partial contains 5.8S ribosomal RNA and internal transcribed spacer 2". The stretch from base 1 to 71 matches the Rfam family "5.8S ribosomal RNA", at positions 84 to 154 of the family's 154-position model. The record is from RNAcentral. Lineage: Eukaryota; Fungi; Glomeromycota; Glomeromycetes; Glomerales; Glomeraceae.
GUGAAUCAUCAAAUUUUUGAACGCAAACUGCACUUUCUGGUAUUCCGGAAAGUAUGCCUGUUUGAGGGUCAGUUAAAUAAAAAUCGGGUGUGUUGGCGCCUUUUCGUGUGACGCUACGGAAUUGAGUUGUCUUACCUUCGGGUAAGUGACCUAAAAUUUUUCAUUAUUUUCGAACGUAUUUAAAUUUAUUACUUUCCUUACAUAUGC